This 305-nucleotide ribosomal RNA is filed under the name uncultured bacterium. RNAcentral's name for it is "bacterial SSU rRNA". It matches the Rfam family "Bacterial small subunit ribosomal RNA", at positions 337 to 634 of the family's 1533-position model. The record is from RNAcentral.
GCCUACGGGGCGCAGCAGUAGGGAAUCUUCCACAAUGGGCGAAAGCCUGAUGGAGCAACGCCGCGUGGGUGAAGAAGGUCUUCGGAUCGUAAAACCCUGUUGUUAGAGAAGAAAGUGCGUGAGAGUAACUGUUCACGUUUCGACGGUAUCUAACCAGAAAGCCACGGCUAACUACGUGCCAGCAGCCGCGGUAAUACGUAGGUGGCAAGCGUUAUCCGGAUUUGUUGGGCGUAAAGAGAACGCAGGCGGUCUUUUAAGUCUGAUGUGAAAGCCUUCGGCUUAACCGGAGUAGUGCAUUGGAAACU